RNAcentral lists this transfer RNA (66 nucleotides) under Rothia mucilaginosa. It matches the Rfam family "tRNA". From Rfam's summary of the family: Transfer RNA (tRNA) molecules are approximately 80 nucleotides in length. Their secondary structure includes four short double-helical elements and three loops (D, anti-codon, and T loops). Lineage: Bacteria; Bacillati; Actinomycetota; Actinomycetes; Micrococcales; Micrococcaceae. The record is from RNAcentral.
GGCUGUAGCUCAAUGGUAGAGCGCGCGCUUCCCAAGCCUGAUACGCGGGUUCGAUUCCCGUCAGCC